This 492-nucleotide ribosomal RNA is filed under the name uncultured bacterium. RNAcentral's name for it is "partial 16S ribosomal RNA". It matches the Rfam family "Bacterial small subunit ribosomal RNA", at positions 30 to 507 of the family's 1533-position model. The record is from RNAcentral.
AUUGAACGCUGGCGGCAUGCUUUACACAUGCAAGUCGAACGGUAACAGGCCUUCGGGUGCUGACGAGUGGCGCACGGGUGAGUAAUGCAUCGGAACGUGCCCAGAGGUGGGGGAUAACGCAGCGAAAGCUGUGCUAAUACCGCAUGUGAUCUGAGGAUGAAAGCGGGGGACCAGGCAGCAAUGUUUGGCCUCGCGCCUUUGGAGCGGCCGAUGUCAGAUUAGGUAGUUGGUGGGGUAAAGGCCUACCAAGCCGACGAUCUGUAGCUGGUCUGAGAGGACGACCAGCCGCACUGGGACUGAGACACGGCCCAGACUCCUACGGGAGGCAGCAGUGGGGAAUUUUGGACAAUGGGCGCAAGCCUGAUCCAGCAAUGCCGCGUGCGGGAAGAAGGCCUUCGGGUUGUAAACCGCUUUUGUACGGAACGAAAAGGCUCUGGCUAAUACCUGGGGCUGAUGACGGUACCGUAAGAAUAAGCACCGGCUAACUACGUG